AUUGAACGCUGGCGGCAUGCCUUACACAUGCAAGUCGAACGGCAGCGCGGACUUCGGUCUGGCGGCGAGUGGCGAACGGGUGAGUAAUACAUCGGAACGUACCCUGUUGUGGGGGAUAACUAGUCGGAAGAUUAGCUAAUACCGCAUACGACCUGAGGGUGAAAGUGGGGGACCGCAAGGCCUCACGCAGCAGGAGCGGCGGAUGUCUGAUUAGCUAGUUGGUGGGGUAAAGGCCCACCAAGGCGACGAUCAGUAGCUGGUCUGAGAGGACGAUCAGCCACACUGGGACUGAGACACGGCCCAGACUCCUACGGGAGGCAGCAGUGGGGAAUUUUGGACAAUGGGGGCAACCCUGAUCCAGCAAUGCCGCGUGUGUGAAGAAGGCCUUCGGGUUGUAAAGCACUUUUGUCCGGAAAGAAAUCGCGCUGGUUAAUACCUGGCGUGGAUGACGGUACCGGAAGAAUAAGCACCGGCUAACUACGUGCCAGCCGCCGCAGUAA
RNAcentral lists this ribosomal RNA (500 nucleotides) under uncultured bacterium. RNAcentral's name for it is "partial 16S ribosomal RNA". It matches the Rfam family "Bacterial small subunit ribosomal RNA", at positions 29 to 523 of the family's 1533-position model. The record is from RNAcentral.